RNAcentral lists this long non-coding RNA (267 nucleotides) under Lathyrus oleraceus (garden pea). RNAcentral's name for it is "Pisum sativum (pea) long non-coding RNA (PSAT_LNC036606)". Lineage: Eukaryota; Viridiplantae; Streptophyta; Magnoliopsida; Fabales; Fabaceae. The record is from RNAcentral.
AAGCAACAGAAUGAAAGAUUUACAUACACAGUGACUUAAGUUCAGGUUGAUUUAUAAAGGGAAGAUUUUUUUUAAAUAAUCAUAUUUUUUUAAAAAUUUCAAAAAUAACCAUAAUUUAAAAAUUAUAAAAAUGGGCAGUUUUUUUGUCCUAAAGACACAUGGGCGCCACCCUAGAUGGCGCCUACCCUUUAGUUGGAGGGCAAGCCGCCACUAGAAGUGGCGCCUACUCCUAAAUAAUUUUUUUUAAUCUUUUUUUUGCUUUUUUUU